RNAcentral lists this long non-coding RNA (2024 nucleotides) under Homo sapiens (human). RNAcentral's name for it is "ANKRD17 divergent transcript, transcript variant 1 (ANKRD17-DT)". The record is from RNAcentral. Lineage: Eukaryota; Metazoa; Chordata; Mammalia; Primates; Hominidae.
GCAGUGACGCCAUCAGCCGUCGCCUGAGCCGUGGCGCGCGGGUGGCCGAAAGGCGAAAGUGAGAUUUCAAGGGCCGGGUCUGGGGCCCCGCGGGCGCGCAGUGCUGCGGCGUGUGGGGAGUACGGGGAGGCUGGAGAGGAGCCGGCCCCGGGCAGUGUGAGGUGCGGAAGCGCGGUCCAGACACUUUGCUGACGGGAGGCCGGUCCGCCAGAUCCGGGAGGUGGGGCCUCGUUCUGGACUGCUAUAAGAAACAGAGGCAAAUGCAGGUUAAGGAACCUCACAGUAAGGGAUAAAACUCAUAUUUUAACCUGAUCUGCCUGAUUCUGGAGCCUGCACCAUCAUUCCAUUGUCGUGCUUGCCACAUGUUUCAUCGUUUUUCAGUCUCUUUGAGGCUUGCUAAAAUUGAUAUCCAUGAGUUCUAUCAAUUCUGGGACAGAGAACAAAUUGUGUUCUGUAAGGAUGGAGGGACAGCGAGGAAUUUGCCAAGGAGAAUGAUAAGGGGAGAGAGUAAGAAAGCAAUGAGAUACACAUGUCUUGACUGCUUCUCUUCAUGCUGAAAUCCUGGGGGAAAGAAGUGCUAAAUCAGUUGAGGACAUGGGAACAUUUAUUCUGCGCUGCUGUGUUAGGGUCUCCACGACUGAGCUGGUCCCAGCAAGAGGUGCCCAACAUGGAGGCUCGAACCCAGGUCGAAGGGUCACCAGAGUGAUGGUUGGAGAAUGUGGAACUAAGCUGGAGUACACCCGAGUACUCUUAAGCAAUCCCUGUGGUGAGUAAGAGGGGAGCUCGGAAGCAUCAGGGUAACAAUGGGACUAGUGUGGGCUCUGGUUCGUUCCACCUUGGAACCUUUUCACACUGAUGAUGAAGAAGAAGGAAAGUAUAAGGAAGUAACAGAAGAAGUAACAGAGCAGGUUUGUUUGCCAACUAAAGCUAAAGUGGCAAAGGAGGAAGAGGUUCAUCCCUACUCUUCUGCACCCCCUCAUUAUUUUGAAGAAAAAGAGUGUCCUGACCCUCCAGAUCUUUCUUUUCCGGAGGACACUGGGUGAAAGUUGUUGCCCUAGUGACUGUUCGAGCAGCACCUCGAGCGACCACUCUCAGCUCUGUUCAGGCAGGAAUUCAGCAAGCUAGAAGAGAGGGUGAUUUAGAGGCUUGGCAGUUCCCUGCUAGAAUACACCCCACAGAUCAACAGGGAAAUGUUAUAGCUACAUUUGAGUCUUUUCCUUUUAAAUUACUCAAAGAAUUUAGACAAGCUAUUAGUCAAUAUGGACCAGGUUCUCCUUCUGUAAUGGGACUGUAAAGAAUGUUGCUCUUUCCAGUCGAUGAUUCCUACCAACUGGGAUGCUCUUACUUGAGCUUGUCUAAAUCCUGCUCACUUCUUACAAUUUAAAACUUGGUGGGCAGAUGAAGCUUCCAUUCAGGCUCCUCACAAUGCCCAGGCCCAACCUCAAAUUAAUAUGACUGCAGACCAACUUUUAGGGGUCGGCAGCUGGGCUGGUUUAGAUGCACAAGUGGUCAUGCAGGACUAUGCCAUAGAACAGCUUAGAGGAGUGUGCAUUAGAGCUUGGGAAAAAAGUCACUUCGGGUGAAGAACAAUACCCUUCCUUUAGCAUUGUAAAACAGGGACCAAGAGAACCAUACACGGAUUUUAUAGCUUGGUUACAGGAGUCUCUUAAAAAGGUGAUUGCAGAUUCAGCUGCUCAGGAUAUAGUGUUGUGGUUAUUAGCUUUCGACAAUGCUAAUCCCGAUUGCCAGGCUGCUCUGCGACCUAUCAGAGGGAAAGCACAUUUAGUUGAUUAUAUCAAGGCCUGUGAUGGUAUUGGAGAUAAUCUGCAUAAGGCUACUCUGCUAGCCCAGGUAAUGGCAGGAGUGAGAGUGGGUAAAGGAAUACUCCAUUUCCUGGAGCUUGUUUUAACUGUGGGAAGCAUGGUUAUACUAAAAAAGAAUGUAGAAACAAUCAGCGAGUCAGGCCACCAGAUAAGGGAAAAAAGAAAACUGCUGAGCCUGAAAUAUGUCCAAAAUGUAAAAAA